AUUAUACAGCGAAACUGCGAAUGGCUCAUUAUAUAAGUUAUCGUUUAUUUGAUAGUACCUUACUACUUGGAUAACCGUGGUAAUUCUAGAGCUAAUACAUGCUAAAAAUCCCGACUUACGAAGGGAUGUAUUUAUUAGAUUAAAAACCAAUGCCCUUCGGGGCUCACUGGUGAUUCAUAAUAACUUCUCGAAUCGCAUGGCCUUGCGCCGGCGAUGGUUCAUUCAAAUUUCUUCCCUAUCAACUUUCGAUGCUAGAGUAGUGUUCUAGCAUGGUUACAACGGGUAACGGAGGGUUAGGGCUCGACCCCGGAGAAGGAGCCUGAGAAACGGCUACUACAUCCAAGGAAGGCAGCAGGCGCGCAAAUUACCCAAUCCCGACACGGGGAGGUAGUGACGAUAAAUACUGAUACAGGGCUCUUUUGGGUCUUGUAAUUGGAAUGAGUACAAUUUAAAUCCCUUAACGAGGAACAAUUGGAGGGCAAGUCUGGUGCCAGCAGCCGCGGUAAUUCCAGCUCCAAUAGCGUAUAUUAAAGUUGUUGUGGUUAAAAAGCUCGUAGUAGAACCUUGGGCCUGGCUGGCCGGUCCGCCUCACCGCGUGCACUGGUCCGGCCGGGCCUUUCCCCCUGUGGAACCUCAUGCCCUUCACUGGGUGUGUGGGAAAACAGGACUUUUACUUUGAAAAAAUUAGAGUGCUCCAGGCAGGCCUAUGCUCGAAUACAUUAGCAUGGAAUAAUAGAAUAGGACGUGUGGUUCUAUUUUGUUGGUUUCUAGGACCGCCGUAAUGAUUAAUAGGGACAGUCGGGGGCAUCAGUAUUCAAUUGUCAGAGGUGAAAUUCUUGGAUUUAUUGAAGACUAACUACUGCGAAAGCAUUUGCCAAGGAUGUUUUCAUUUAUCAGGAACGAAAGUUAGGGGAUCGAAGACGAUCAGAUACCGUCGUAGUCUUAACCAUAAACUAUGCCGACUAGGGAUCGGACGAUGUUAUUUUUUGACUCGUUCGGCACCUUACGAGAAAUCAAAGUGC
RNAcentral lists this ribosomal RNA (1022 nucleotides) under Colletotrichum sp. NIOCC 26V. RNAcentral's name for it is "SSU rRNA". It matches the Rfam family "Eukaryotic small subunit ribosomal RNA", at positions 73 to 1106 of the family's 1831-position model. The record is from RNAcentral. Lineage: Eukaryota; Fungi; Ascomycota; Sordariomycetes; Glomerellales; Glomerellaceae.